This is a long non-coding RNA of Medicago truncatula (barrel medic), 618 nucleotides long. RefSeq lists it as uncharacterized. Lineage: Eukaryota; Viridiplantae; Streptophyta; Magnoliopsida; Fabales; Fabaceae. The transcript is spliced from 3 exons. The record is from RefSeq and is a predicted model, not a curated record.
UUCUCUACAUCCCACGUUCUGUUAAUGGGGUUGGUUUAGUGGAAUAAUAAGCUCUAUAAAGCUACUAAUUAAUUUUGUAGUUGAAGAAAAACAAGUAUGCUUCCUCUACUCCCUGUUCAAUAGACCGUUCCAUAUAAGAAUUGAUUUCUUGACUACGUUCAUUCUCCUAUUAUACAAUUGUUGGUUGAAUCAAUUCCUUCUAUUGCAGUAGCCUUGUCAUUUUUAAAUCUCAUCUAGCAGCUAUUUCCAAAUCACCAUGCCUAAGCCAAAGAAUUUCCAAAGGAACCACUACUAAAAACCUUUUCACGCCAAGCAUCAACAUCACCCACCUUCUUGUUCAUGGAACCACCUCAUCUUUGUACAUAGUCUUUCAGAGCUGGCCUUGUCUCAAAGUACUAUUACCAGGUUUCAUUCUAAGUCUCCCACUCUAGUCCAACUCGUUUUAUUGGUGAGAUUGGGGUCAAGAAACUUGCUCGUGCUUUCGGUUCAAUACAACCUUAGGAAUGUCUUGUGAGGAAGAAAAGUGUCUCGGGUACCAAAGAAGGAAUGGUGUAUGCUUUGGUGUGUUUGCUUGAAGUGCGUACGGGGGGAACAAAUUGGGUUUUUAUUGAAUUGUAA